Molecule: long non-coding RNA, 1407 nt
Organism: Pantherophis guttatus
Lineage: Eukaryota; Metazoa; Chordata; Lepidosauria; Squamata; Colubridae
Source: RefSeq, a predicted model, not a curated record
GAUGAAAAUUUUACAUAGAUUUGAAAUUUGGUUAAACUAGAUUCAGAUUUUUAGAUUCAAUAGUUUUCCUUAUUUAUUUUGCUUUUUUAGGAAGCUGCUCGUUCAAGAAAAGUAGAAAUUAUAAUAGUAAUGUUAGGAAACUCUAAGACAGGGAACUGCAACCUUAAAGACUCAAAGAGCCAUUUGGACCCAUUUCCCACAGAAAAGAAAACUCCAGGAGCCACAAAACCCUUCCCAUGCCUGACUAACGCUAGCAUAUGUAGUUGAGACAGGGAGCCGCAGCAGAGGGGUGAAAGAGCCACAUGUGGCUCCAGAGCCAUAGGUUGCUGAUCCCUGCUGUAAGAAAACUAAUAUCAUAAACAGUACUGAGAAUUAGAAAUGUGUACUGAAACCAAGUUUUUCCCUUUUUCUAGUUAAGAAAUACUUGUGCCCAAUUGCUGCUACAAAGUUGGCUACUGGUCCAAUUUACAAAUAUAUAUUCCAAUUAAUUAAUAAUAGCACUAGAACUUAUCAUUUAGGUACUCAUAGGUUGAUAAACUAUCACACUACAGAGAGGAGUCAGGAUUUUAUAAGAUGGUAGUCUUUAAAGUUUCAGUCAGUUUAUUAUUUACAUAGCUGUCUCUAUUGUGUAUUGAAACUUGAUUGAUUUGAUGCAUUCUGGAGAUUAUAGAACCUUGCCAUUUUGCUAGUAAAAACAUCACAACUUUUCAUGGAAAAUCUAUUUUAGAAACAAUAUCCUUGGCUUCUGAAUUCUACUUCAGGAACAGCUUAAACAUACAAAUAAAAAGUCACAUCGCAAUCAAAAAGAAAAGAAAAAGAAAAGAAAAAGGAGAGAAUUAGAGGUGCAGAAAUAUAUGACUAUUCAAAAAAAAAAAAUGUUCUUGAGAGGUGCUCCUGUCACUUUUUAAAAUAUUUUGUCUUCAGGACUUAUUGCAAUAGAAAAUUUAUUUAUUUAUUCAUUGGAAUUUGUCAAACAAAAAUGAGAACAAGAAUAAGAGAGUAACUGACUGAAACUGUGAAAAUUUGUAGCUGAGACAACUGAAUCAGCAGGAAGGGGGCGGUGCUGAAAUUUCCAGGAGACUCGGUCAUUGGAGGACAGCCAUGCCAUUACCCAGGCAUGACUGCCGUGGGCACCCUGCAGGAGAAAAAGUCAUUUACAGUAUUUAGAUUCCAAUUUCUAGCACCAAAAAGAACAUAAAGAUAUACCAAAUCGUCCUGCUGAGUCCAGUCCAGCAUCCUGUUUCUAACAACUAAUCAGAUGCAUCUGUUCAUCCUGUAAACAACAGAUGAUUACAAUAUAGCAGAGAAGGUGAUAUAGAAUCAGGAUAGAAAUACAGUUUUCCAGAUGUGGUUAGCUGUCGGCCUAUAACUUUUGAAAAUCUAUUAAACACUGAUUUAUUUUCCAUU